This 663-nucleotide long non-coding RNA is filed under the name Fukomys damarensis (Damara mole-rat). RNAcentral's name for it is "lncRNA (ENSFDAG00000033484.1)". Lineage: Eukaryota; Metazoa; Chordata; Mammalia; Rodentia; Bathyergidae. The record is from RNAcentral.
UGAACUUUAAGGUUCCUGCUGUGUCCAGGCUCAUCUGCCACUCUUCAGGAGUUGCAGGACAGAGUUCUGGUGCCGUGUAUGGAGCCCAGAGCCAUGCACAGCGUACAGUCCGCCCUUGAGCUCAGCUCCCAGCCUCCAGUCACAUCAUCGUGAACAGCACCCAUGGAACGCUCUCGUCCUGCAGAGCUGGAAAUCUGUGCCGUGCAACAAUGACUUUCCCGCCUGUCUUUCUCCCAAGUCCUGGCGACCAGCACUGCCCUUCACCAUCAUGACAGUGACCAGCAGGGUCACGAGUGAGCGCCUCACAGGAAUGGGGUCCAGCGCCACUCCUCCUUCCAUGCCUGGCUUAUUUUACUUAGCCUAGGCCUGGUUACCCAUGAUACAGCCUGUGUCAGAAUCCCCUUCCCUUUUCAAGGCUCUGUGUUUGGUUCAUCAUUGGUUGGUUAUCUUACUAAGAAAACGGAAUAUUUACCUCCCAGCUGUAAAGAUCUCCUCUCUGAUAGGUAUUGUUUUUUGUGUUUGUCUUUGGAAAGUAUUAAAGAAUGAUUUUUGAAAGUCUCUUUUUCUCCUGCCAAAGUCCUGGGUCACAGUGGGAAGAAAUGUGAGUGAAUUCUCUGUCUUCAGAGAUUCAAAAAUCACAGAAAUGGUGUACUUGGUUUACAU